UCGUCAGCUCGUGUCGUGAGAUGUUGGGUUAAGUCCCGCAACGAGCGCAACCCUCGACCUUAGUUGCCAGCAUUCAGUUGGGCACUCUAAGGUGACUGCCGGCUAAAAGUCGGAGGAAGGUGGGAUGACGUCAAAUCAUCAUGCCCCUUAUGACCUGGGCUACACACGUGCUACAAUGGGCGGUACAAAGGGUCGCGAACCCGCGAGGGGGAGCCAAUCCCAAAAAGUCGCUCUCAGUUCGGAUUGCAGGCAGCAACUCGCCUGCAUGAAGCCGGAAUCGCUAGUAAUCGCGGAUCAGCAUGCCGCGGUGAAUACGUUCCCGGGCCUU
RNAcentral lists this ribosomal RNA (328 nucleotides) under uncultured Anoxybacillus sp. RNAcentral describes it as "bacterial SSU rRNA". It matches the Rfam family "Bacterial small subunit ribosomal RNA", at positions 1052 to 1382 of the family's 1533-position model. Lineage: Bacteria; Bacillati; Bacillota; Bacilli; Caryophanales; Anoxybacillaceae. The record is from RNAcentral.